GAAUGCUGACAUAAGUAACGAUAAAGCGGGUGAAAAGCCCGCUCGCCGGAAGACCAAGGGUUCCUGUCCAACGUUAAUCGGGGCAGGGUGAGUCGACCCCUAAGGCGAGGCCGAAAGGCGUAGUCGAUGGGAAACGGGUUAAUAUUCCCGUACUUGGUGUUACUGCGAAGGGGGGACGGAGAAGGCUAUGUUGGCCGGGCGACGGUUGUCCCGGUUUAAGCGUGUAGGUGUGUGUUCCAGGUAAAUCCGGUUCACUUUAACACUGAGGCGUGACGACGAGGCACUACGGUGCUGAAGCAACAAAUGCCCUGCUUCCAGGAAAAGCCUCUAAGCAUCAGGUAACAUCAAAUCGUACCCCAAACCGACACAGGUGGUCAGGUAGAGAAUACCAAGGCGCUUGAGAGAACUCGGGUGAAGGAACUAGGCAAAAUGGUGCCGUAACUUCGGGAGAAGGCACGCUGACACGUAGGUGAAGUGAUUUACUCAUGGAGCUGAAGUCAGUCGAAGAUACCAGCUGGCUGCAACUGUUUAUUAAAAACACAGCACUGUGCAAACACGAAAGUGGACGUAUACGGUGUGACGCCUGCCCGGUGCCGGAAGGUUAAUUGAUGGGGUCAGCGCAAGCGAAGCUCCUGAUCGAAGCCCCGGUAAACGGCGGCCGUAACUAUAACGGUCCUAAGGUAGCGAAAUUCCUUGUCGGGUAAGUUCCGACCUGCACGAAUGGCGUAAUGAUGGCCAGGCUGUCUCCACCCGAGACUCAGUGAAAUUGAACUCGCUGUGAAGAUGCAGUGUACCCGCGGCAAGACGGAAAGACCCCGUGAACCUUUACUAUAGCUUGACACUGAACAUUGAGCCUUGAUGUGUAGGAUAGGUGGGAGGCUUUGAAGUGUGGACGCCAGUCUGCAUGGAGCCGACCUUGAAAUACCACCCUUUAAUGUUUGAUGUUCUAACGUGGACCCGUUACCCGGGUUGCGGACAGUGUCUGGUGGGUAGUUUGACUGGGGCGGUCUCCUCCUAAAGAGUAACGGAGGAGCACGAAGGUUGGCUAAUCCUGGUCGGACAUCAGGAGGUUAGUGCAAUG
This 1081-nucleotide ribosomal RNA is filed under the name Salmonella enterica. RNAcentral describes it as "partial 23S ribosomal RNA". It matches the Rfam family "Bacterial large subunit ribosomal RNA", at positions 1292 to 2356 of the family's 2925-position model. The record is from RNAcentral. Lineage: Bacteria; Pseudomonadati; Pseudomonadota; Gammaproteobacteria; Enterobacterales; Enterobacteriaceae.